UGGGGAAUAUUGCACAAUGGGCGAAAGCCUGAUGCAGCAACGCCGCGUGAGUGAUGAAGGUCUUCGGAUUGUAAAGCCCUGUCUUUUGGGACGAUAAUGACGGUACCAAAGGAGGAAGCCACGGCUAACUACGUGCCAGCAGCCGCGGUAAUACGUAGGUGGCGAGCGUUGUCCGGAUUUACUGGGCGUAAAGGGUGCGUAGGCGGAUGUUUAAGUGAGAUGUGAAAUACCCGGGCUUAACUUGGGUGCUGCAUUUCAAACUGGAUAUCUAGAGUGCAGGAGAGGAGAAUGGAAUUCCUAGUGUAGCGGUGAAAUGCGUAGAGAUUAGGAAGAACACCAGUGGCGAAGGCGAUUCUCUGGACUGUAACUGACGCUGAGGCACGAAAGCGUGGGUAGCAAACAGGAUUAGAUACCCUGGUAGUCCACGCCGUAAACGAUGAGUACUAGGUGUAGGAGGUAUCGACCCCUUCUGUGCCGCAGUAAACACAUUAAGUACUCCGCCUGGGAAGUACGAUCGCAAGAUUAAAACUCUAAAGUGAAUUGAC
This 545-nucleotide ribosomal RNA is filed under the name uncultured bacterium. RNAcentral's name for it is "partial 16S ribosomal RNA". It matches the Rfam family "Bacterial small subunit ribosomal RNA", at positions 355 to 914 of the family's 1533-position model. The record is from RNAcentral.